RNAcentral lists this ribosomal RNA (468 nucleotides) under uncultured bacterium. Its description in RNAcentral is "partial 16S ribosomal RNA". It matches the Rfam family "Bacterial small subunit ribosomal RNA", at positions 28 to 507 of the family's 1533-position model. The record is from RNAcentral.
GACGAACGCUGGCGGCGUGCUUAACACAUGCAAGUCGAACGGAAAGGCCCUGCUUUUGUGGGGUGCUCGAGUGGCGAACGGGUGAGUAACACGUGAGUAACCUGCCCUUGACUUUGGGAUAACUUCAGGAAACUGGGGCUAAUACCGGAUAGGAGCUCCUGCUGCAUGGUGGGGGUUGGAAAGUUUCGGCGGUUGGGGAUGGACUCGCGGCUUAUCAGCUUGUUGGUGGGGUAGUGGCUUACCAAGGCUUUGACGGGUAGCCGGCCUGAGAGGGUGACCGGCCACAUUAGGACUGAGAUACGGCCCAGACUCCUACGGGAGGCAGCGGUGGGGAAUAUUGCACAAUAGGCGGAAGGCUGAUGCAGCAACGCCGCGUGCGGGAUGACGGCCUUCGGGUUGUAAACCGCUUUCGCCUGUGACGAAGCGUGAGUGACGGUAAUGGGUAAAGAAGCACCGGCUAACUACGUG